Molecule: ribosomal RNA, 460 nt
Filed under: uncultured bacterium
Lineage: Bacteria
Description: partial 16S ribosomal RNA
Rfam family: Bacterial small subunit ribosomal RNA
Source: RNAcentral
CCUACGGGGGGCAGCAGUGAGGAAUAUUGGUCAAUGGACGAGAGUCUGAACCAGCCAAGUAGCGUGAAGGAUGACUGCCCUAUGGGUUGUAAACUUCUUUUAUAUGGGAAUAAAACGUUCCACGUGUGGGAUUUUGUAUGUACCAUAUGAAUAAGGAUCGGCUAACUCCGUGCCAGCAGCCGCGGUAAUACGGAGGAUCCGAGCGUUAUCCGGAUUUAUUGGGUUUAAAGGGGGCGUAGGUGGAUUGUUAAGUCAGUUGUGAAAGUUUGCGGGUCAACCGUAAAAUUGCAGUUGAAACUGGCAGUCUUGAGUACAGUAGAGGUGGGCGGAAUGCGUGGUGUAGCGGUGAAAUGCUUAGAUAUCACGAAGAACUCCGAUUGCGAAGGCAGUUCACUGGACUGCAACUGACACUGAGGCACGAAAGUGUGGGUAUCAAACAGGAUUAGAUACCCCAGUAGUC